This 1435-nucleotide ribosomal RNA is filed under the name uncultured organism. RNAcentral describes it as "16S ribosomal RNA". It matches the Rfam family "Bacterial small subunit ribosomal RNA". The record is from RNAcentral.
UUAACACAUGCAAGUCGAGGGGCAGCAUGGUCUUAGCUUGCUAAGGCCGAUGGCGACCGGCGCACGGGUGAGUAACACGUAUCCAACCUGCCGUCUACUCUUGGACAGCCUUCUGAAAGGAAGAUUAAUACAAGAUGGCAUCAUGAGUCCGCAUGUUCACAUGAUUAAAGGUAUUCCGGUAGACGAUGGGGAUGCGUUCCAUUAGAUAGUAGGCGGGGUAACGGCCCACCUAGUCUUCGAUGGAUAGGGGUUCUGAGAGGAAGGUCCCCCACAUUGGAACUGAGACACGGUCCAAACUCCUACGGGAGGCAGCAGUGAGGAAUAUUGGUCAAUGGGCGAGAGCCUGAACCAGCCAAGUAGCGUGAAGGAUGACUGCCCUAUGGGUUGUAAACUUCUUUUAUAAAGGAAUAAAGUCGGGUAUGGAUACCCGUUUGCAUGUACUUUAUGAAUAAGGAUCGGCUAACUCCGUGCCAGCAGCCGCGGUAAUACGGAGGAUCCGAGCGUUAUCCGGAUUUAUUGGGUUUAAAGGGAGCGUAGAUGGAUAUUUAAGUCAGUUGUGAAAGUUUGCAGCUCAACCGUAAAAUUGCAGUUGAUACUGGAUAUCUUGAGUGCAGUUGAGGCAGGCGGAAUUCGUGGUGUAGCGGUGAAAUGCUUAGAUAUCACGAAGAACUCCGAUUGCGAAGGCAGCCUGCUAAGCUGCAACUGACAUUGAGGCUCGAAAGUGUGGGUAUCAAACAGGAUUAGAUACCCUGGUAGUCCACACGGUAAACGAUGAAUACUCGCUGUUUGCGAUAUACUGCAAGCGGCCAAGCGAAAGCGUUAAGUAUUCCACCUGGGGAGUACGCCGGCAACGGUGAAACUCAAAGGAAUUGACGGGGGCCCGCACAAGCGGAGGAACAUGUGGUUUAAUUCGAUGAUACGCGAGGAACCUUACCCGGGCUUAAAUUGCAGAUGAAUUACGGUGAAAGCCGUAAGCCGCAAGGCAUCUGUGAAGGUGCUGCAUGGUUGUCGUCAGCUCGUGCCGUGAGGUGUCGGCUUAAGUGCCAUAACGAGCGCAACCCUUGUUGUCAGUUACUAACAGGUUAUGCUGAGGACUCUGACAAGACUGCCAUCGUAAGAUGUGAGGAAGGUGGGGAUGACGUCAAAUCAGCACGGCCCUUACGUCCGGGGCUACACACGUGUUACAAUGGGGGGUACAGAGGGCAGCUACCAGGCGAGUGGAUGCCAAUCCCUAAAACCUCUCUCAGUUCGGAUUGGAGUCUGCAACCCGACUCCAUGAAGCUGGAUUCGCUAGUAAUCGCGCAUCAGCCACGGCGCGGUGAAUACGUUCCCGGGCCUUGUACACACCGCCCGUCAAGCCAUGGGAGCCGGGGGUACCUGAAGUGCGUAACCGCAAGGAGCGCCCUAGGGUAAAACUGGUGACUGGGGCUAAGUC